AGUGAACGCUGGUGGUAGGCCUAACACAUGCAAGUCGAACGGCAGCACAGUAAGAGCUUGCUCUUACGGGUGGCGAGUGGCGGACGGGUGAGGAAUACAUCGGAAUCUACUUUUUCGUGGGGGAUAACGUAGGGAAACUUACGCUAAUACCGCAUACGACCUACGGGUGAAAGCAGGGGAUCUUCGGACCUUGCGCGAUUGAAUGAGCCGAUGUCGGAUUAGCUAGUUGGCGGGGUAAAGGCCCACCAAGGCGACGAUCCGUAGCUGGUCUGAGAGGAUGAUCAGCCACACUGGAACUGAGACACGGUCCAGACUCCUACGGGAGGCAGCAGUGGGGAAUAUUGGACAAUGGGCGCAAGCCUGAUCCAGCCAUACCGCGUGGGUGAAGAAGGCCUUCGGGUUGUAAAGCCCUUUUGUUGGGAAAGAAAAGCAGCAGGUUAAUACCCCGCUGUUCUGACGGUACCCAAAGAAUAAGCACCGGCUAACUUCG
RNAcentral lists this ribosomal RNA (490 nucleotides) under uncultured bacterium. RNAcentral's name for it is "partial 16S ribosomal RNA". It matches the Rfam family "Bacterial small subunit ribosomal RNA", at positions 29 to 505 of the family's 1533-position model. The record is from RNAcentral.